CAUUUGGUUGAUCCGGAUAUUCACAGGAGAACUGUUGUUAGGAGGAAAUAGGAAUUGGAGGCCUCGGGAGAAUAGGCUGCUCAUAUCAAGUGGACAAAGGUGCAUCAUCGAAUUGAUAAUGUUUUUUUGUUGAUUUGUUUCACAGUUGAAGCAUCAUCCAAAGUAUGUACUACUUGAUAGAAUUACCUGAAUGUGCAUUAUUGUACUAAUAUUUCUAAUUG
This 221-nucleotide long non-coding RNA is filed under the name Oryza brachyantha (malo sina). RNAcentral describes it as "long non-coding RNA (OBRA_LNC002402)". Lineage: Eukaryota; Viridiplantae; Streptophyta; Magnoliopsida; Poales; Poaceae. The record is from RNAcentral.